Molecule: transfer RNA, 72 nt
Organism: Pediococcus argentinicus
Lineage: Bacteria; Bacillati; Bacillota; Bacilli; Lactobacillales; Lactobacillaceae
Rfam family: tRNA
About the family: Transfer RNA (tRNA) molecules are approximately 80 nucleotides in length. Their secondary structure includes four short double-helical elements and three loops (D, anti-codon, and T loops). Further hydrogen bonds mediate the characteristic L-shaped molecular structure. tRNAs have two regions of fundamental functional importance: the anti-codon, which is responsible for specific mRNA codon recognition, and the 3' end, to which the tRNAs corresponding amino acid is attached (by aminoacyl-tRNA synthetases). tRNAs cope with the degeneracy of the genetic code in two manners: having more than one tRNA (with a specific anti-codon) for a particular amino acid; and 'wobble' base-pairing, i.e. permitting non-standard base-pairing at the 3rd anti-codon position.
Source: Rfam
GCGCGGGUAGUGUAACGGAUAGCACAUGAGAUUUCGGUCCUCAUGAUGAGGGUUCGACUCCCCCCCUGCGCA